Molecule: ribosomal RNA, 468 nt
Filed under: uncultured bacterium
Lineage: Bacteria
Description: partial 16S ribosomal RNA
Rfam family: Bacterial small subunit ribosomal RNA
Source: RNAcentral
GACGAACGCUGGCGGCGUGCUUAACACAUGCAAGUCGAACGGAAAGGCCCUGCAUUUGUGGGGGGCUCGAGUGGCGAUCGGGUGAGUAACACGUGAGUAACCUGCCCCUGACUUUGGGAUAACUUUAGGAAACUGGGGCUAAUACCGGAUAGGAGCUCCUGCUGCAUGGUGGGGGUUGGAAAGUUUCGGCGGUUGGGGAUGGACUCGCGGCAUAUCAGCUUGUUGGUGGGGUAGUGGCUUACCAAGGCAUUGACGGGUAGCCGGCCUGCGGGGGUGACCGGCCACAUUGGGACUGAGAUACGGCCCAGACUCCUACGGGAGGCAGCGGUGGGGAAUAUUGCACAAUGGGCGGAGGGCAGAUCCAACAACGCCGCGUGCGGGAUGACGGCCUUCGGGUUGUAAACCGCUUUCGCCUGUGACGAAGCGUGAGUGACGGUAGUGGGUAAAGAAGCACCGGCUAACUACGUG